This is a long non-coding RNA of Vulpes vulpes (red fox), 2613 nucleotides long. Lineage: Eukaryota; Metazoa; Chordata; Mammalia; Carnivora; Canidae. The record is from Ensembl.
UGCCCCAAAUCCCUUCUGACCAGCAGCCUGGUGGGUGGUAAAGGUCACACAUUGGAUUGGGGUAAGUCCCUUACCAGCCGUGGGACUUUGGGCAAGCACUCUAAGGUCUCCGGGCCUCAGUUUCCCCAGACAGCUGGAAGGAUGAAAUGAGAGGCUGCACAGUGAGCCCUGAGCCUGACCCGACUCCCGGAUAACCCUCUGUCAAGCUCGCUGCUAUCCUGCAUCGAACCUCCGAGAUCCUACCUGGCAGCGGCGGAGGGGACAGGAUGACAGACGACCUGGCCUCCUUCAGACAGAAAUCUCCCCGCAAGGCCCAGCCAAGCGGGUGCAGACUUGCCCGCCUCCCCCACCCCCAGAACCUCCGGCAGCAGCAGACGAUCAAAAAGGAAACGUGAGCAAAACCGAACGGUUGGCCGGCGGCGCCAGCUGUUGAUUUAUUCUUGGGAAGGGCCCCGCGUCCCCCGGAACGGUGACCUCUAUUAAUGUUGACGUGUUCAAAAGCCGCGUAUUGGGAUGCAGCGCGCCUCUCCUGUCCCUUUAAAGAACCUGCCGUUCGGUUUCAAAGCCCCUGGCCGAGCGUGAGUAGUGUCUGGGAGUGCAAUUCCUCGAGGAGGAACAUUCCAUCAAACGCCGCGUGAUAAAUGGGGGCCCGAGCCACUGUAGACACUCACUUUGGACGAGCGGCCCCGCGCCGGAGACUUCACUCGCAGGGAUGAAAGGAGAUUCAUUCCAAACGGAAUGGCUGAGCAAACAGCCGGCGCCCCUGUGCCCCCUCCUUCGCUGCACCCCACCCUGGCCCCCCGGAACAGAACCCAUGACAGGGCCUCGGGGGGCCUCUGGGUGCCCGGGGUGAGCAGGGUGCUUUGCAGCCUCGGUCUCCUUGCAGGCUCGCCACUUGCAGCCUGGGGGGAGUUGGCGCCCACCUCCUGCAGGAGCUCACGAAGCCCAGAGGGGAUGGGACCUGCCUGAGGUCGCACAGCCCAGGAAGCCUCCUCAGGAUGCCAGCCCUGGCCAGGCUCUCGAGGGCAAGCAGUACCAGCCGCAGCACCUCACAGCCGGGAGACAGAGGCCCAGGUGGGCGGACGGGACUGCCCCAGGCCCCAGGGCCAAUUCAGCAGAGAGAAUUUUCUAGAAUCAGAGAAAGGAAGCGGAGCCUCUGGGCCGUGGCGGUUGGCACUUUGUGGAUUUCCAUUUUGUGGAAGUCCAUUUUCUCCGCUCUCUUCCUCCUCUUCUUCCUCCUUUCUGUAGCCAAGGGCAGAGGAGGGAGGGGGAUUCACCUGAUGAGAGCAGAGAAGUCGCCAGGGGAGAGAGAGCCUGUGGGUCACGCAGCCGCCCUGGGGAGGAGUUGGGUAAUGCCGAGUCUCCCUUUCAUGCACGAGGGCCGUCGGCGGGAUUGGAAGGAAUGGAUUAGAUGGAAGAAGCAAUCCAGUCUCAUUCUGUUCUUUGGGGUCAGUGAAGCCCAGAGGAGAGCAAGCGUUUCUAGAAUCACACAGCACUGGGGUUGGAGCCAGAGCCAGAGGAGUCCACCAUCCAGGGCAGGAACCCAAGAGAUGACACCAGGUGGCCCUCCAUCAUGCCGAGAGCUCUGGGUGGGCCCCGGCUGGCAGAGUUGAUGACAUCCGUCCUUUACUCAUGGCGAGCGCUCCCUCCGGGAUGGACACGCGGCGACACGUUCUCCGUGGGUAAACUCACUUGCAUCUCCCGGCAACAAGGGGCAACCAUGGUUCUCCCUGUUUUAGAGGUGAGUGGAGCAAGGCUCAGGGUGAUGCGCUGUCUCGCCGGAGACCCACCGUCCGCAAGUGGCUGAGUCGGGAUUUGGACCGAGCACCGUCCGACUCCAGAGACAAAGUGGUUAAGAGCGGUCUUUCUCUUCCUCUCAAAAUACCUGGUUGUGCUGAACUCACCCUUCUUCUUCUUCUUCUUCUUCUUCUUCUUCUUCUUCUUCUUCUUCUUCUUCUUCUUUUUUUUAAAGAUUUUAUUUAUUUAUUCAUGAGAGACACAGAGACACAGACAGAGGGAGAAGCAGGCUCCCUGUGGGGAGCCCGAAGCAGGACUCAAUCCUGGGACCCCGGGGUCACAUCCUGAGCUGAAGGCAGAUGCUCCACCGCUGAGCCAGCCCGGUGCUCCAUGAACUCACCCUUCCUCUUUGGUGAUGUGAGCUUAGAAAAUGCCUGAGAGGAGGCGAGGUGCAGGACAGCGAUACCGUGGUGUAGUGCUAGGCUCCUACUGACCCGACAGUAUGUCAGAAGGAAGGUCACCUGCUUCCAGACCGGACCUGAGCAUGGGGAACUGGAACCACCCAAAGUGAGAGUACAAAUGGUGGACGGAGGGACCACUGAGCUUAGUGAAUUGGGGGUACCGUCAAGUUGUUUGACACGAGGGAAGCAGAGUGCAUGAUUCGCACCUGUAUUUAUUUACUCAAGCGUACUUGUGUAUCUACUGUGCGAAGAUUGUACGCAGUGAUGACCUGAAACCGAAACUUUGGGGGCUAAUUUUUAAGAAUUGAGUUCUAAUUGAUCUGCCAUGAGAUGCACAGAGCUUAAAUAUUUUUAAAAAAUUAUUUAUUUAUUUGUUCAUGAGAGACACAGAGAGAAGCAGAGACACAGGCAGAGG